UUAUAGAAAAUGUGGAAAGUAUUGAAAAAUACAAAGAGAAGGAAUAAAAUUCUCACACUCCAGAUAGUCUUUGUUGAUGUACAGUGUACGUACUUUCAUUUUUUUAACUAUGCUUUUAAAAAAUACCUUAUAUGAAUAUAUAUACACAUCCACAACAACCAGGUUUUGAAUACCUAGAAAGAGUUAGAACCCAACAAGAUGACCCCUGUGUCAUAGAACAUAGUUUCUAUUUGCUGAAACUGACUCCCUAGAUUAACUGUAGGAUUGGACUUUAAUGAAAGAUUUAUUGAUUGUUCCACCUACAGAUGAAUCUAUAGAGCUUUACAUACAGAAUCUGAUUCUUUUUCUCUCUCUCCCCCCUUCUUCCCCCUCCACCCCCUCUUUACUGUCUACUCUGUUUUCCUAGGAACUCUAGCCAAGAACCACGGCCUACACUCUCCAACACAAUCCAGAGGCCACAACUAGGUCCCACAGCUAAUUUACCCCUGGAGAUGGGCUCAGGACAGCUGGCACCCAGGCAGCAGCAACAGCAAACAGAAUUGGACAUGGUACCAGGA
RNAcentral lists this small RNA (557 nucleotides) under Pongo abelii (Sumatran orangutan). Its description in RNAcentral is "retained intron". Lineage: Eukaryota; Metazoa; Chordata; Mammalia; Primates; Hominidae. The record is from RNAcentral.